This 1533-nucleotide long non-coding RNA is filed under the name Homo sapiens (human). RNAcentral's name for it is "HSALNT0060203". The record is from RNAcentral. Lineage: Eukaryota; Metazoa; Chordata; Mammalia; Primates; Hominidae.
GGAUUGCCUGCCUGAGAGGACCAAGGAGAGAACCACCUCUCAGCAGUAGAAGCAAGGCAUAGAUAUGCAAACUGCACAGAGACUGGGAAUGCAAAUGACAAUAGCAGCCAUGGGCAACAGAGCUGGAACUCCAGAGCAGAGCUGAGCACUAGGAAGUGAGAACCUUAAGGUAUUUCCAGUAUGUUCUACUCUCCUCAAACCUCAGAGCAUCUCUGAAGGCCACACAAGAACAUUUGUGUUUUAGCCCAUUCUCAUGCUGCUAUAAAGAAAUACCUGAGACUGGGUAAUUUAUAAAGAAAAAAGGUUUAAUUGGCUCAUGAUUCUGCAGGCUAUACAGGAAGCAUAGUGGCUUCUGCUUCUGGGAGGCCUCAGGAAACUUUCAAUCAUGGCAAAAUGUGAAAGGAAAGCAGGCACGUCCUACACAGCCAGAGUAGGAACAAGAGAGAGAGGGAAAGGUGCUACACACUUUUAAACAACCAGAUCUCACGAGAACUCACUCACUAUUACCAAGACAAUACCAAGGGGGAUGGCACUAAACCAUUCAUGAGAAAUCCAUUCCCAUGAUGCAUUCACCUCCCACCAGGCCCCACCUUCAACAUUGGGGAUUACAGUUCAAAAUGAGGUUUGGUGGGGACACAGAUCCAAACCAUAUCAACUUGUAGGGGCAGAAAGACGUCACCUUUACUUGAAUUGCAACCCUUACCUUUUCAUCGCAGGCUGUAGGAGCAGAGCCUGACAACCAGCACUUGUCUUGGAGAUCACUGCAUCUAGAAUAAUCCUGCCCUAGAGAUCUAGGUGGACACACAGGCAAGUAGGGGCCUGGUGGCCCACUGAUUUCCCUACUGAAAUAAAAAGCCAGAUACAAGACUUCUACAUCUGCAAAGGUGGAGUGGAUGUGCUUUUCCCUACUUUUCCCACUAAAUAUGACUAAAAACCCUGGACAUUAUGUAUACAACCAACGUAAGAGGAUGCUGAAAGGAAGAGAUAAAAGGCAAACCUGCUGGGGACCUCAGGACCUGAGGAACAACAUGGUGCUCAGCAAUUGCACUCCUGGGCCCUCAUCUCAGAGAAUGAAGACUUAGGUUCACACAAAAACAUGUACACGGAGGUUUACAGCAGCUUUAUUCUUAAUCAACAAACACUGGAAACAACGCAGAUAUCCUUCAGCAGAUGACCUGUUAGACACACUGUGGUACUUCCAUACUGUGGACUGCUACACCCAACCCACCUGGAAUUAUGCUGAAUGAAAAGGUGAAUCCUAGAGGUUAUGUACUUUAUGAUUCUAUUCAUAAAAUAUCCUUGAAAUGACAAAAUUUUAGAAAUGGAGAACAAAUUAGCAGUUGCCAGGGGUUCUAGGGGAGUGAGGAUGAGAGGGAAGUGGAUGUGGCUAUAAAAGCAUACCACUUUGUGGGGUAGAGACGUUCUGUAGCUUGACUACAGAUAUUCUAUCAGUGUCAGUAUCCUGUUGUGAUAUUUACUGUGGUUUGUGAGAAGUUGCCAUUGCAGGAAACUGAGUAAAGGGCACAUAGCAUC